AUCGCUUCUCAGCCUUUUGGCUAAGAUCAAGUGUAAAAUAUUCCUGUUUUUAGUAGUUUAUACCAGUAUGGUGAAUGAUUUAGAGCUUUCAAUGACUCAGAGAGAGCACUGGGGUACAUAUACCAUAGGUGUGCUACCGCUACGUUACACCUAUAAUUA
RNAcentral lists this small nuclear RNA (159 nucleotides) under Fukomys damarensis (Damara mole-rat). RNAcentral's name for it is "U2 spliceosomal RNA". It matches the Rfam family "U2 spliceosomal RNA". From Rfam's summary of the family: U2 is a small nuclear RNA (snRNA) component of the spliceosome (involved in pre-mRNA splicing). Complementary binding between U2 snRNA (in an area lying towards the 5' end but 3' to hairpin I) and the branchpoint sequence (BPS) of the intron results the bulging out of an unpaired adenosine, on the BPS, which initiates a nucleophilic attack at the intronic 5' splice site, thus starting the first of two transesterification reactions that mediate splicing. The record is from Rfam by way of RNAcentral. Lineage: Eukaryota; Metazoa; Chordata; Mammalia; Rodentia; Bathyergidae.